GACGAACGCUGGCGGCGUGCCUAAUACAUGCAAGUGGGACGCAAGGGAACACACUGUGCUUGCACACCGUGUUUUCUUGAGUCGCGAACGGGUGGGUAACGCGUAGGUAACCUGCCUAUUAGCGGGGGAUAACUAUUGGAAACGAUAGCUAAUACCGCAUAAUAUUAAUUAUUGCAUGAUAAUUGAUUGAAAGAUGCAAGCGCAUCACUAGUAGAUGGACCUGCGUUGUAUUAGCUAGUUGGUAAGGUAAGAGCUUACCAAGGCGACGAUACAUAGCCGACCUGAGAGGGUGAUCGGCCACACUGGGACUGAGACACGGCCCAGACUCCUACGGGAGGCAGCAGUAGGGAAUCUUCGGCAAUGGACGAAAGUCUGACCGAGCAACGCCGCGUGAGUGAAGAAGGUUUUCGGAUCGUAAAGCUCUGUUGUAAGUCAAGAACGUGUGUGAGAGUGGAAAGUCACACAGGAC
RNAcentral lists this ribosomal RNA (469 nucleotides) under Streptococcus mutans. Its description in RNAcentral is "bacterial SSU rRNA". It matches the Rfam family "Bacterial small subunit ribosomal RNA", at positions 28 to 473 of the family's 1533-position model. Lineage: Bacteria; Bacillati; Bacillota; Bacilli; Lactobacillales; Streptococcaceae. The record is from RNAcentral.